CACCUCUCAGGGUUACACCUGGAGAGUUUCCAGUACUCUCCCAGUCUCGACUAUGGGAGGGAGAAUCAAGCAGAGGUCUAUCUAUUCUAUUCCUAGCUUGGGCAGUGGCUAGUGAGUGGCAGGCAAUCUGCUACAAGU
RNAcentral lists this small nucleolar RNA (138 nucleotides) under Ornithorhynchus anatinus (platypus). The record is from RNAcentral. Lineage: Eukaryota; Metazoa; Chordata; Mammalia; Monotremata; Ornithorhynchidae.